GACGAACGCUGGCGGCGUGCUUAGCACAUGCAAGUCGAACGGAAAGGCCCUGCUUUUGUGGGGUGCUCGAGUGGCGAACGGGUGAGUAACACGUGAGUAACCUGCCCUUGACUUUGGGAUAACUUCAGGAAACUGGGGCUAAUACCGGAUAGGAGCUCCUGCUGCAUGGUGGGGGUUGGAAAGUUUCGGCGGUUGGGGAUGGACUCGCGGCUUAUCAGCUUGUUGGUGGGGUAGUGGCUUACCAAGGCUUUGACGGGUAGCCGGCCUGAGAGGGUGACCGACCACAUUGGGACUGAGAUACGGCCCAGACUCCUACGGGAGGCAGCAGUGGGGAAUAUUGCACAAUGGGCGGAAGCCUGAUGCAGCAACGCCGCGUGCGGGAUGACGGCCUUCGGGUUGUAAACCGCUUUCGCCUGUGACGAAGCGUGAGUGACGGUAAUGGGUAAAGAAGCACCGGCUAACUACGUG
RNAcentral lists this ribosomal RNA (468 nucleotides) under uncultured bacterium. Its description in RNAcentral is "partial 16S ribosomal RNA". It matches the Rfam family "Bacterial small subunit ribosomal RNA", at positions 28 to 507 of the family's 1533-position model. The record is from RNAcentral.